GCUCAACUGUAGAAUUGCCWUUGAUACUGGUUGUCUUGAAUUAUUGUGAAGUAUUUAGAAUAAGUAGUGUAGCGGUGAAAUGCAUAGAUAUUACUUAGAAUACCAAUUGCGAAGGCAGAGUACURACAAUAUAUUGACGCUGAUGGACGAAAGCGUGGGGAGCGAACAGGAUUAGAUACCCUGGUAGUCCACGCCGUAAACGAUGGAUACUAGCUGUACGGUAGCAAUACUGUGUGGCUAAGCGAAAGUGAUAAGUAUCCCACCUGGGGAGUACGUUCGC
This 280-nucleotide ribosomal RNA is filed under the name uncultured bacterium. RNAcentral's name for it is "partial 16S ribosomal RNA". It matches the Rfam family "Bacterial small subunit ribosomal RNA", at positions 607 to 889 of the family's 1533-position model. The record is from RNAcentral.